GACGAACGCUGGCGGCGUGCUUAACACAUGCAAGUCGAGCGGUAAGGCCCUUUCGGGGGUACACGAGCGGCGAACGGGUGAGUAACACGUGGGUGACCUGCCCUCAGCUCUGGGAGUAAGCCUGGGAAACCGGGUCUAAUACCGGAUAUGACUCCAUGACGCAUGUUGUGGGGUGGAAAGCCUUGUGCGGCUGAGGAUGGGCCCGCGGCCUAUCAGCUUGUUGGUGGGGUGAUGGCCUACCAAGGCGACGACGGGUAGCCGGCCUGAGAGGGCGACCGGCCACACUGGGACUGAGACA
This 298-nucleotide ribosomal RNA is filed under the name uncultured bacterium. RNAcentral describes it as "partial 16S ribosomal RNA". It matches the Rfam family "Bacterial small subunit ribosomal RNA", at positions 28 to 326 of the family's 1533-position model. The record is from RNAcentral.